Long non-coding RNA from Alosa alosa (allis shad), 794 nucleotides. RefSeq lists it as uncharacterized. The transcript has 5 exons. The record is from RefSeq and is a predicted model, not a curated record. NCBI's taxonomy places the organism in Eukaryota, Metazoa, Chordata, Actinopteri, Clupeiformes, Clupeidae.
AAGGUUGUUUAGCCUGGGCCUACCUGUUCAUAAUCUCUUAUCGUAGCCUAAACAUAGUGAAGAGAUGGAGAAUACAAACCUCUUUACCGAAUCUUUCCAGUUCAUCCAAUAUUUUUAAGUAUGGCACAACCAGGCUUAACAUGGCAAGAGAUCUUGGACAUUAAGCUUUUGCAGGAGAGAGUUUGGCUAGAGGAGAGAAUGGAACAGGUACGCUGCCUCAUAGCUAAAGAGGUGGAAUGGAGGAUGAUGACUUUUCAUGAGCAGUGGAAACCAGAGGAGAAGAAGAUGAUGGUAGCAAGAAAUGAUGACAAGAAAAUGGAGAAAUGGAUAGACAUGGCAAUAUCAAGAUUUGCUGAAAUUGAGAAAAGAAAAUGGGAGGAGAGGAGGAUCAGAGAGGAAGAAAGACAAAUGGAGGAGGGGUGGAAAAAGAUCGAAGCAGAGAGAAGCAAAGUGAAAGACAAAACAUGGAAGAAAAAAACAAAAGAGAGAGAAGAAAACCAGAUAGAGAAUGAAGAGAUGGAGAGGGAGCAGGAUGCAAUAAGAAAUAAGGCUCUUGGAGAGGAAAGGGAAAGCAUAGAAGAAGAGAGAAUGAAACUGACAGAGGAGAAGAGGCAGGUAGAAGAAAUCAAGGCUCAAGUUGACCAAGCUAGACUGGAACUAGAAGCACUAAAACUGGCUGAGGCUGAACAAAGAGAGAGAGAAUAUGUGAACAGAAAGAAAGAGCUUGAGGAUGAGAAAAGAAAGACUGAUGUGGAAAGAGAGAGAGUGAGGGAAGAUAUUGAAAAAGGCCUGAA